Molecule: ribosomal RNA, 403 nt
Filed under: Verrucomicrobiota bacterium
Lineage: Bacteria; Pseudomonadati; Verrucomicrobiota
Description: Verrucomicrobia bacterium partial 16S ribosomal RNA
Rfam family: Bacterial small subunit ribosomal RNA
Source: RNAcentral
UGGGGAAUAUUGCACAAUGGGGGAAACCCUGAUGCAGCGACGCCGCGUGAGCGAAGAAGGCUUUCGAGUCGUAAAGCUCUGUCCUAUAAGAAGAUAAUGACGGUAUCAUAGGAGGAAGCCCUGGCUAAAUACGUGCCAGCAGCCGCGGUAAUACGUAUGGGGCGAGCGUUGUCCGGAAUUAUUGGGCGUAAAGGGUACGUAGGCGGUUUUUUAAGUCAGGUGUCAAAGCGUGGAGCUUAACUCCAUUAAGCACUUGAAACUGAAAGACUUGAGUGAAGGAGAGGAAAGUGGAAUUCCUAGUGUAGCGGUGAAAUGCGUAGAUAUUAGGAGGAAUACCGGUGGCGAAGGCGACUUUCUGGACUUUUACUGACGCUCAGGUACGAAAGCGUGGGGAGCAAACAGG